This 841-nucleotide unclassified non-coding RNA is filed under the name Hevea brasiliensis (rubber tree). Lineage: Eukaryota; Viridiplantae; Streptophyta; Magnoliopsida; Malpighiales; Euphorbiaceae. The record is from RNAcentral.
GGGUUCAAAACAUGGCAUUAUCCAACAGCACAGUCGCCUCCUCUGCUCCGCUGGCAAUCCCUUCCCUCCCAAAUUCAAAGGUAAAGCUGAAUUAUCAAUUACUCUGUUUUUCAAUCUUCCUUUAUCCACUCAAUUGCUUCUUUUUUUCUUUUAAAGAAUAUUGAAAGAAUUGAUUCACUACUCGGAACUUCAAGAGCUCCCAAAUUCAUCGCUCGCUCUAUUUCAAGAAAUGGCUCUUCCUUUCUUCAAUCUGAUUUGCCAUUUCCCCGUGAUUAUGAUGAGCUUCUUCAACAAGUAAAGCUUUUACAUUCCAUAUGUUUUCUUCUUUGCACUCGUUCUUAUUAAUUUUUUCAAGUACAUAAUAUGUCAUUUCGUCUGCAAUUGUUGUUGAAAAAUUCAAAUGUUAGGCUUUUCAUGAGGCUGUGCUUUAAUAUUUACUGCUUACAAACCCUAAUUUGGUCUCAUAUUCAAUGGGUACAGGAUUGCUGUUGAAACUACGUUUAGAAAAUUAUUUUAAAAUUGUAAGUGGGUAUUAUAAAUUAUUAAAUAUGUUAGUUAUAGGGUAUUUAAAAUUAUUUUUAAAAUAAAUUUGAUAUGUUUUUGUCAUUAUUAUUAAAUAUGUUAGUUAUAGUGUAUUCAAAAUUGUUUUCAAAACACCCAGUGAUUGGUUAUCUCCAGCGGACUUUACUGCAAGGUCGAGGGUUUGAAUCCUGGAGCGCUCGCUUUACCUGAAUAACACUCUCGGCCGAGCAUGGGAAUACUUUUGUACUUAAAUCAAAAAAAUUGUUUUCAAAAUAAUUUUGAUAUGUUUUAGUCAUAAUAACUAAACAGAUAUUUCAAG